This 395-nucleotide ribosomal RNA is filed under the name uncultured ammonia-oxidizing bacterium. RNAcentral describes it as "bacterial SSU rRNA". It matches the Rfam family "Bacterial small subunit ribosomal RNA", at positions 215 to 602 of the family's 1533-position model. The record is from RNAcentral.
GUGCUUUUGGAGCGGCCGAUGCCUGAUUGGCUAGUUGGUGAGGUAAAGGCUCACCAAGGCGUCGAUCAGUAGCUGGUCUGAGAGGACGACCAGCCACACUGGGACUGAGACACGGCCCAGACUCCUACGGGAGGCAGCAGUGGGGAAUUUUGGACAAUGGGGGAAACCCUGAUCCAGCCAUGCCGCGUGAGUGAAGAAGGCCUUCGGGUUGUAAAGCUCUUUCAGCCGGAACGAAACGGUCACGGCCAAUACCCGUGACUACUGACGGUACCGGAAGAAGAAGCACCGGCUAACUACGUGCCAGCAGCCGCGGUAAUACGUAGGGUGCAAGCGUUAAUCGGAAUUACUGGGCGUAAAGCGUGCGCAGGUGGUUUUGUAAGUCAGAUGUGAAAUCC